CUUUUAUCAUAGCAGGCAUACACACACAAGCACAUACACAAAUAUAUGUAUACACACAAAUAUACACAUAAAUACAUACAUACACACAUCAUAGCAUGCACACACACAAAUACAUACACAUACAAAUAAGCACACACAAAUAUACACAUAUACAAAUACACUCACGCACAGAUAUAUACAUACAAACAUACACACAUACACAAGUAUACACACCAUGGUAGGCAUACACACAAAUACAAAGAUACAUGAACACACACAAACAUAUACACCAUGGUAGUAGGUACACAUGUGCACACACACACCAUAGUAGACAAACACACAAAUGUACACACCAUAAUAAGCACACACGCACACACAUACACACACAAACACAGAGCCCUUUCAUCUUAGACCUUUGAAUAAAACAGCAAAAACUUUACAAAACUUUGUGAAAGAAAACCUGAUUUGGAGAUUCAACAGCAUGUGCCUAUGAGCAUCACCCUUUAACUGGCCAGCCAUCUUUCCAGCCCCCAUUGGUGUAUUUUAAAGGGGUAACGGGAAGUUUUCCAUGAUAAAAAGUCACUUAGCUGUAUCGCCAAGCCCAAAACAACAGACAGGAAAUAGUUGUAACAGAAGCCAUUUUUGAACAGGAAAAAAAAAGUAGAAAAAGAAAGAGAGAGGGAGAAAGCCCUAAAGACAGAGGGAAAACAUCCCGACUAACCAACUCAGCGACUAACCAACUAACCGACUAACCAUAAAGACAGAGGGAAAACACCCCGACUAACCGACUAACCGUAAGCUCACGCAAAGUUGAAAAGAAAUACUCUGGUUGUAUUUUGUCAGUCAAAUGUUUGCAAAUGUCAGGACUUUUUCUAAAUAUUUCCUGCUGUUAAUAGCAAAGAGGGUUCAGAUGCUGAAAAAAAAAAAAAGAAAAAGAAAAGAAAAACUUCAGCCCUUUCUUCUGCAUAUUCUUAAUUACAGCUGCUCCUUCCAGCUUCAGCAGGAGUCCACACUGUGUGGUAGGUGUUCACUGGGCAGCCCCAGGAGUCCACACUGUGAGGACCCAGAUGCUGAUGGACACCAGAAGAAACCUCUAUGUGGCUGCAUGCCAGGGGGCUCUGCCAGUCCCUGAGGGCAAAGGGGGUGCCAGCCUCAACUAGUUACAUGGUGUGCACAGCUGGAGGACAGUCUGGGGCUGCCUGAGUUGUCCCCUGUGGCCUUUAUUUUUUUUUUUUCCAUCAGAAGUAACUUUGGAGACAUCUGGCCAACCCCAGGUGAGGUGGCUGUUGAGGGCGAAGCUUGUGAACUCUCAACUCAGCUAACUGU
Molecule: long non-coding RNA, 1305 nt
Filed under: Mus spicilegus (steppe mouse)
Lineage: Eukaryota; Metazoa; Chordata; Mammalia; Rodentia; Muridae
Description: lncRNA (ENSMSIG00000009415.1)
Source: RNAcentral